RNAcentral lists this ribosomal RNA (446 nucleotides) under uncultured bacterium. RNAcentral's name for it is "partial 16S ribosomal RNA". It matches the Rfam family "Bacterial small subunit ribosomal RNA", at positions 338 to 795 of the family's 1533-position model. The record is from RNAcentral.
CCUACGGGAGGCAGCAGUCGAGAAUCAUUCACAAUGGGGGAAACCCUGAUAGUGCGACGCCGCGUGGGGGAAUGAAGGUCUUCGGAUUGUAAACCCCUGUCAUGUGGGAGCAAAUUAAAAAGAUAGUACCACAAGAGGAAGAGACGGCUAACUCUGUGCCAGCAGCCGCGGUAAUACAGAGGUCUCAAGCGUUGUUCGGAAUCACUGGGCGUAAAGCGUGCGUAGGCUGUUUCGUAAGUCGUGUGUGAAAGGUGCGGGCUCAACCCGCGGACGGCACAUGAUACUGCGAGACUAGAGUAAUGGAGGGGGAACCGGAAUUCUCGGUGUAGCAGUGAAAUGCGUAGAUAUCGAGAGGAACACUCGUGGCGAAGGCGGGUUCCUGGACAUUAACUGACGCUGAGGCACGAAGGCCAGGGGAGCGAAAGGGAUUAGAUACCCGGGUAGUC